GUUGCUUCCAUGUCCUGGCUCUUAUUGUAAACAGGGCUGCAGUGAACACUGGGGUGCAUGUAUUCUUCUGAAUCAUGAACAUGUCCUUUUUGAUGGAAUAAACCUUUAAUUAAUAGAUGUUCAGAUGAUCAUGCCCCAUAUUACCAGUGUGUACCUCCCCUUUCUCAUGAAGACCCUUACCAAGGUAAAGUCUGGCAAACUUCAUCAAUGAGAAGACAAGAUUCUGAAUUCUAGUGACCCAGAUGAACUGAAAAACUUUUUCUUUAAUUUUCCUGGACUUCCCUGAACCUUUGAGGAAGGCAGAAAAAGUCUUUGCCUCAUGCAUUGUUUUCUUCAGGUGACACCAUCUGGGAAUACAGAUAGCCAUCAGGGACCACCAGACCACUUCUUUUGGUACCUGCAAGAGUAACUUCUCUUCUCAGCCACAAAUAGGUUCUUUCUUUUCAAACCCUUGCAGAGACCAUAUUUCCAAUAUCCCAACACGCCCGAGGUCAGAGAUUGUUGAUCAGUGGCCAGUUGUACCUUGGGUCUUAGUCUGAGUUAUGAAGGAGGAUGAAGUCAGGAAGAGCUCCCUGAACACACUAUGGAAUGCAGCCUUUGGUAGACAACCCCUGUACAGGAGGAAAUGUUUUUCUUCAAGACCAUUUCUGAUUCUGGUUUCCUAAUUCCAUUUCUGAGCAGCUUCUCUGCACUGUGUUGGCUGUCUUUGGGAAAACAGAAGGCCUUCCUGAAGAUGAUGAAACUGUCCCUUGUCUCUCAAGCUUCACUCCAUACCCAGCCUAACAGAUUAAUUUGCUCAAGCCACAUUAAAAAAAUAAAGUCGAAAAAACUCCUUUCCUUGCACUAAGAGAGAGAACGAAUGUUUGAUGAGCACCUGUGAUGUGACGCCCUCUAGGAAAAGAAUGAUUACAUUCUAACCUUAGUGAAUUAUCACAGCUCCAUUCUUGCAUGAUGCCCAGAGUGGAAAUAACAGAACAGAGAGGUAAGUCAUCUUCUUCUGUGACUCAG
Molecule: long non-coding RNA, 1008 nt
Filed under: Capra hircus (goat)
Lineage: Eukaryota; Metazoa; Chordata; Mammalia; Artiodactyla; Bovidae
Description: lncRNA (ENSCHIG00000007813.1)
Source: RNAcentral